This 497-nucleotide ribosomal RNA is filed under the name uncultured bacterium. Its description in RNAcentral is "partial 16S ribosomal RNA". It matches the Rfam family "Bacterial small subunit ribosomal RNA", at positions 28 to 507 of the family's 1533-position model. The record is from RNAcentral.
GAUGAACGCUGGCGGCGUGCCUAAUACAUGCAAGUCGAGCGAACAGACGAGGAGCUUGCUCCUCGGACGUUAGCGGCGGACGGGUGAGUAACACGUGGAUAACCUACCUAUAAGACUGGGAUAACUUCGGGAAACCGGAGCUAAUACCGGAUAAUAUAUUGAACCGCAUGGGUCAAUAGUGAAAGACGGUUUUGCUGUCACGUAUAGAUGGAUCCGCGCCGCAUUAGCUAGUUGGUAAGGUAACGGCUUACCAAGGCAACGAUGCGUAGCCGACCUGAGAGGGUGAUCGGCCACACUGGAACUGAGACACGGUCCAGACUCCUACGGGAGGCAGCAGUAGGGAAUCUUCCGCAAUGGGCGAAAGCCUGACGGAGCAACGCCGCGUGAGUGAUGAAGGUCUUCGGAUCGUAAAACUCUGUUAUUAGGGAAGAACAACUGUGUAAGUAACUAUGCACGUCUUGACGGUACCUAAUCAGAAAGCCACGGCUAACUACGUG